AGAUUAAGUUAUUAAGGGCGCACGGUGGAUGCCUUGGCACUAGAAGCCGAUGAAGGACGUUACUAACGACGAUAUGCUUUGGGGAGCUGUAAGUAAGCUUUGAUCCAGAGAUUUCCGAAUGGGGAAACCCAGCAUGAGUUAUGUCAUGUUAUCGAUAUGUGAAUACAUAGCAUAUCAGAAGGCACACCCGGAGAACUGAAACAUCUUAGUACCCGGAGGAAGAGAAAGAAAAUUCGAUUCCCUUAGUAGCGGCGAGCGAAACGGGAAGAGCCCAAACCAAAAAGCUUGCUUGUUGGGGUUGUAGGACACUCUAUACGGAGUUACAAAGGACGACAUUAGACGAAUCAUCUGGAAAGAUGAAUCAAAGAAGGUAAUAAUCCUGUAGUCGAAAAUGUUGUCUCUCUUGAGUGGAUCCUGAGUACGACGGAGCACGUGAAAUUCCGUCGGAAUCUGGGAGGACCAUCUCCUAAGGCUAAAUACUCUCUAGUGACCGAUAGUGAACCAGUACCGUGAGGGAAAGGUGAAAAGCACCCCGGAAGGGGAGUGAAAUAGAACCUGAAACCGUGUGCUUACAAGUAGUCAGAGCCCGUUAAUGGGUGAUGGCGUGCCUUUUGUAGAAUGAACCGGCGAGUUACGAUUUGAUGCAAGGUUAAGCAGUAAAUGUGGAGCCGUAGCGAAAGCGAGUCUGAAUAGGGCGUUUAGUAUUUGGUCGUAGACCCGAAACCAGGUGAUCUACCCUUGGUCAGGUUGAAGUUCAGGUAACACUGAAUGGAGGACCGAACCGACUUACGUUGAAAAGUGAGCGGAUGAACUGAGGGUAGCGGAGAAAUUCCAAUCGAACCUGGAGAUAGCUGGUUCUCUCCGAAAUAGCUUUAGGGCUAGCCUCAAGUGAUGAUUAUUGGAGGUAGAGCACUGUUUGGACGAGGGGCCCCUCUCGGGUUACCGAAUUCAGACAAACUCCGAAUGCCAAUUAAUUUAACUUGGGAGUCAGAACAUGGGUGAUAAGGUCCGUGUUCGAAAGGGAAACAGCCCAGACCACCAGCUAAGGUCCCAAAAUAUAUGUUAAGUGGAAAAGGAUGUGGCGUUGCCCAGACAACUAGGAUGUUGGCUUAGAAGCAGCCAUCAUUUAAAGAGUGCGUAAUAGCUCACUAGUCGAGUGACACUGCGCCGAAAAUGUACCGGGGCUAAACAUAUUACCGAAGCUGUGGAUUGUCCUUUGGACAAUGGUAGGAGAGCGUUCUAAGGGCGUUGAAGCAUGAUCGUAAGGACAUGUGGAGCGCUUAGAAGUGAGAAUGCCGGUGUGAGUAGCGAAAGACGGGUGAGAAUCCCGUCCACCGAUUGACUAAGGUUUCCAGAGGAAGGCUCGUCCGCUCUGGGUUAGUCGGGUCCUAAGCUGAGGCCGACAGGCGUAGGCGAUGGAUAACAGGUUGAUAUUCCUGUACCACCUAUAAUCGUUUUAAUCGAUGGGGGGACGCAGUAGGAUAGGCGAAGCGUGCGAUUGGAUUGCACGUCUAAGCAGUAAGGCUGAGUAUUAGGCAAAUCCGGUACUCGUUAAGGCUGAGCUGUGAUGGGGAGAAGACAUUG
RNAcentral lists this ribosomal RNA (1584 nucleotides) under Staphylococcus aureus. Its description in RNAcentral is "partial 23S ribosomal RNA". It matches the Rfam family "Bacterial large subunit ribosomal RNA", at positions 1 to 1581 of the family's 2925-position model. Lineage: Bacteria; Bacillati; Bacillota; Bacilli; Caryophanales; Staphylococcaceae. The record is from RNAcentral.